Molecule: long non-coding RNA, 686 nt
Filed under: Ananas comosus (pineapple)
Lineage: Eukaryota; Viridiplantae; Streptophyta; Magnoliopsida; Poales; Bromeliaceae
Description: long non-coding RNA (ACOM_LNC003667)
Source: RNAcentral
AACAUUGCAUUUGUUAUAUAUACAUCUAUAUCUAUACUACUAAUAAAAGUGUGAGUUUUGAAUUUUUUUCUCUUUCCAAAAAUAUCUCUAUGUAAUAAUUUAUUCUCAAAUAAAGAUAUUAAUAUUUUGCCAUUAGAUUUUAUCUAACGAUUGAAAAUAAAUGUAUCUGUCACUUUUUGUGACAAUAAUACCUUCGCAUUUAUAUCAUAUCUUCUAUCUACGAAUUUCUCAAAUAUUUUCCUUUCUUACGCGUAAUAUCCAUACCGGUCAAUUCUUUCUCAACAUAAUAUCCGUGAAUAUCCGUAAAUUUCUCAAAUAUCUUAUUAAUCCACCUAUCAUACACGUCAACCACCUACAUAAUAUCCGGUUAACCUUUCUCACACGUAAUAUCCACUCUCACACGUAAUAUCCACGCGUUUCUCAAAUAUCUCAUCAAAAUUUUAAUCUUUUCUCAUUGUUUCUCAAAAUUUUUCACAACCUAUCAUAAUUUUGAAUUAAAUAUAUCCUCGCAUUUGAAUUUAAAUAUUAAAAUAGAUAAAAAUAAAAUUUAAAAUUUAAAAUUAAAUAUGAAUUUUAUUACGAAAAUGUCUCUAUUUUUUAACUAAUUUUUUCAUAUCCAGAAAUUUUGAAUUCGUCAGAAAUAUAUAAUAUCUCCAUUAUCCUCGCAUUUGAACUUAAAUCUUAAA